Molecule: long non-coding RNA, 503 nt
Organism: Drosophila arizonae
Lineage: Eukaryota; Metazoa; Arthropoda; Insecta; Diptera; Drosophilidae
Source: RefSeq, a predicted model, not a curated record
CUCUGGCAACUCUACUAUACUAUCAAAAAAGCUGAAUUUAUGCUCAAAUAAAACUCAAUCAAAUUAAUAGCCAAGUAGCUCAAUUAGCGCUCCGCUCUGGCCAACCUAUAUGCAAUGAGACAAAACACUUCCCGCUGACCUUUGGCAAUGUCUUUAAGCUGGCUAAACAUGACAAUAUCACGAUCUGAUCUCGCUCAAGACUGUCAAAGAUGUCUCUUUGUUUAGCCAUUUGACCCGCCUGCACAAAAGUCAACGGCUGCAGGGCAAACAAGAGAGAGGGAGAGAAGCAAACUAUAAGAGAUUUAUUAGUUUUUGUCAGCCAAAAAAUAAAAAACCAAACAGAAAAGAGAAAUUCAAAUUGAAGCUGAAAUUGAAAUUUAUUGCUGUUGUUGUUGUUGUUGUUGGUUGCUUUGCGGCUUGUCUGAUAAGCCAAACAGACAAAUGACAUUCAAUUCAUUUGCCUAAGCACCUCUUACAUAUGUAUAUAUAUGUAUGUGUAUAUA